RNAcentral lists this ribosomal RNA (499 nucleotides) under uncultured bacterium. RNAcentral describes it as "partial 16S ribosomal RNA". It matches the Rfam family "Bacterial small subunit ribosomal RNA", at positions 30 to 522 of the family's 1533-position model. The record is from RNAcentral.
AUUAAACGCUGGCGGAAUGCUUUACACAUGCAAGUCGAACGGCAGCACGGACUUCGGUCUGGUGGCGAGUGGCGAACGGGUGAGUAAUACAUCGGAACGUGCCCAGUCGUGGGGGAUAACGUAGCGAAAGCUACGCUAAUACCGCAUACGAUCGAAGGAUGAAAGCGGGGGAUCGCAAGACCUCGCGCGAUUGGAGCGGCGGAUGGCAGAUUAGGUAGUUGGUAGGGUAAAGGCCUACCAAGCCGACGAUCUGUAGCUGGUCUGAGAGGAUGAUCAGCCACACUGGGACUGAGACACGGCCCAGACUCCUACGGGAGGCAGCAGUGGGGAAUUUUGGACAAUGGGCGCAAGCCUGAUCCAGCCAUUCCGCGUGCAGGAUGAAGGCCUUCGGGUUGUGAACUGCUUUUGUACAGAACGAAAAGGCUCUGGUUAAUACCCGGGGCUCAUGACGGUACUGUAAGAAUAAGCACCGGCUAACUACGUGCCAGCCGCCGCAGAA